Molecule: ribosomal RNA, 233 nt
Filed under: uncultured bacterium
Lineage: Bacteria
Description: partial 16S ribosomal RNA
Rfam family: Bacterial small subunit ribosomal RNA
Source: RNAcentral
AGGGACCUACGGGGCGCAGCAGUGAGGAAUAUUGGUCAAUGGGCGAGAGCCUGAACCAGCCAAGUCGCGUGAGGGAAGACGGUCCUAUGGAUUGUAAACCUCUUUUGCCGGGGAGCAAAAAGCGGUACGUGUACCGCAUCGAGAGUACCCGGAGAAAAAGAAUCGGCUAAGUCCGUGCCAGCAGCCGCGGUAAUACGGAGGAUGCGAGCGGUAUCCGGAUUUAUUGGGUUUAA